AUGACAUGUGGGGAUCCUCCUUUCCUAGCAGGCCCAUCUCUGCUGUGUCUGUUUGUGUGUGCCUCUUGGGUGAGAGAAGAGGGAGACGUGGGGUGGAUCGUGGUGGCGCCGCCUGCGCUUUCUCCUCCCUGCUCUCCACUAGGCCGCCUCCUACCCUUCACUUUUCUCUCCGGCGACGGCGACGGCGACGACCUGCAGACAAAAGGAGAAGGCGGUGACGGCGGGAGAGAGAAGAUGAGAGGGAGAGAGAAAAGGAAGGAGAGGAGGGAGAAAGAGAGAGGAAAGAGGAGAGGCCUUGGUGGUCCAGGGAGGCGUAUACGUAGAUGGCAGCCUCCGCCCUGA
This 342-nucleotide ribosomal RNA is filed under the name Triticum aestivum (bread wheat). RNAcentral describes it as "partial small subunit ribosomal RNA". The record is from RNAcentral. Lineage: Eukaryota; Viridiplantae; Streptophyta; Magnoliopsida; Poales; Poaceae.